Molecule: long non-coding RNA, 426 nt
Filed under: Gossypium raimondii (Peruvian cotton)
Lineage: Eukaryota; Viridiplantae; Streptophyta; Magnoliopsida; Malvales; Malvaceae
Description: long non-coding RNA (GRAI_LNC009343)
Source: RNAcentral
GAUGAUGAAAGUUGCUCGAACGUAGCCAGCACGACAAUGGUGGAAAAGCUUUGCUUAACCACUACCAAGCAUCCACACCUUAUCAAAUACAAGGGCUUAGCAACGAAGGCUAAUUUAAGGUCACUCAACAAGUGCGCAUCGCCUUUUCUACCGGCAAGUAUCAAGAGGAAGUCGUGUGCGACGUAGUGCCUAUUCAAGCCUGCUGUAAUAGCCUAAAUUUGCCCGGCCCACAUACAGUUCAAAAAUUUUAAAAAAAAAAGAAAGAAAAAACUAAAUUAAAAAAAACAGUCCAUAAAGUCUGGUUACAAUAAAGCCUAAGCCAAUACAAUGGGCCUAAUUCCCGAAUACCCCAUCUAGCCCAACUAUCAUGGCCCAAUGAAGCCCCAAAUUAACCCACCUAAAACCCAAUGUCCAGCCCAAAUACCA